AGCGGGUAUAGUUUAGU
This 17-nucleotide transfer RNA is filed under the name Isodon ternifolius. RNAcentral describes it as "partial tRNA-Gly". Lineage: Eukaryota; Viridiplantae; Streptophyta; Magnoliopsida; Lamiales; Lamiaceae. The record is from RNAcentral.